Molecule: long non-coding RNA, 483 nt
Organism: Tribolium castaneum (red flour beetle)
Lineage: Eukaryota; Metazoa; Arthropoda; Insecta; Coleoptera; Tenebrionidae
Exons: 2
Source: RefSeq, a predicted model, not a curated record
CAUGUAGCAGCGCGGCAUCGUGCGGCCGUAUCGAUCUCUGCUGUUGCAGGUCCCGGAAUGCACCGGCAGGUGGUUGAGUGAUGGCGGAGGAUAGGUGAUAGCAACAAGUAGCAGCAGCAGCACACGCCGGCUUAGCCAACAGCGACUCACCACUCCCUGGUUGCAAGUGCUGGCGUCGUGACGUUGGCAGCGGGGUGGCGACGCUCACGCAUGCGCCAGAAAGCGCGUGGGAUCGAUCCGGACCGACACCUGUUACCGAACCACCGACGCUCGCCUGUCUCUUUUCAUGGGAGCAGGGCGCUCGCUCCGAGAGGAUGCAGUCGGUGCAUGGGCAUAGGGGACAGGACAUACAAAAAGGAUGCAAAUUGAUUUUUACUUAACUAGCAGUUUUCAGCUGGAAAAAAUGCCAAAAACGUGCUCAAAACCUAUAAAAUUUUGCAUAAUUCUUUAUUUUUUUGGGCAAAUAAAUACUUAUUUAUUUUA